Molecule: RNA transcript, 3405 nt
Organism: Ostrinia furnacalis (Asian corn borer)
Lineage: Eukaryota; Metazoa; Arthropoda; Insecta; Lepidoptera; Crambidae
Gene name: SCAN domain-containing protein 3-like
Exons: 2
Source: RefSeq, a predicted model, not a curated record
AUUUGUCGUUCAUUCUUUCUUUGACAUUUACUGACAGUGACAGUGUGUGUGUGAUCAAAACAAAAAUGGCUGGAUAUCGUAAUAUUAUAAGAUUUAACUACACAAAUUCAAAAGUUGAAUUCUUUACCAUCCUUGCAAAGACAAGCUUUAAAAAGUUCGACCUUAAUUACUACAGUGCCAUUAAGGAAGAACUACUGCAAGUUCAAGAGGAAAAUAAAUCUGACAAACCUACAACUUCACGCGCGAGCGAGAAAAAAAAAUCGUCGUACGACAACGAAUACGAACUGUAUAAGGACAGGGAGGCCCUGAUUUUGAUUAAGAAAAGAGAAAACCCAAAUGAUCCCGUAUUAAGGUAUUUACCAUUGGAAGAUUCUUUCGAUGCUCUUAUUACGAUUCACUUGAUGGUUGGCCAUAACAAUACGAAUGAAUUUCUGAAAUUGGUAAAAGAAAAGUACGCGGUCCCUGAAUGCUACGUAGAUUUUAUUCUAAUUGCGUGUAACGUAUGUUGUAAUAAAAAAAAGAAAGAGGAACGUGAACGAAAGUCAAAACAAGAAUUGAAUGUACCAAAUGAUAACAAACAAGAACAAAAAGAUGAUCACGACAAUGUUAGUACUGAUCAGUACAAUAAGGAUGUGAGAGUCGAAAUUUGUGACAUGACGUUAUAUCGAAUAGAUGGCAACUUCAAGUUCCUAUUAAUAUACGUCGAUAUAAACACGUCUUUCACUUUACUCCGGCCAUUGCUACUGCGGUGUGUUCAAGAAAUUGCCACUGAGAUGCUAAAUAUAUUCUCAGGUUUCGGGCCACCUAAAAACUUAUAUGUUCAUGAUAACGACCAAUAUCUUUUUAAUGAAGUUUUAUCAUUCAUUUACAAUAAUUUUUGCCCGGAGAGUAGCAUGCCUGAUAUAAAGAUUUUUCAAAUGAACUUGAACAGCAGUGUCAUAUUAAAUAUGCUCUCCUCGUGGAUGUUAUCGACAGGUCACAAAAAUUGGGGUAUAGCCUGCCAUUUGUUCCAGUGGCAUUUGAAUAAUACGGUAAAAGGGAUUUAUAUUUCUAAAUUAUGUUCGGUUGAAAGAAGAUCAAACGUUGCUCGAAAAACGCCUUAUUCAAGCGUGUUCCAGAAUUCCAUUCCAUUGCAAACUGAUGUUCAGAAAGAGUCAGUAAAGAGAAAGCGGAAAAGAACCGAUAUCGUUAUGUGGGAUGAUAUAAAUGCAAAAAAGAAUGAACAAGAAAAUGUCAGCGAAGACGAUAUCAAUGAAUGGUACAAGGGGAAACCGGCAGUAGUGGAAAGUUAUGAUAUUACGAUUAUAGAAGAAGAUGACGACGAUUCAAAUAAUAUCUGCUGUGUGUGUGAUCGUCAAAUACUCAAAAUAGCCACUUGUCAACAAUGCAGGCGAAAUAUACACGCGUUUUGUGGAGAGAAGCCAAAACAUUAUGAAAAUUCUAAGUUAUUAUGCUUUUUGUGUUGUAAAAAGCAAGCAUCUUUACCUCUUUGAAAAUGUCCCAUAUUGGUUGAAAGACAUGGAGUACCGAGUAAGGCAUGUAUCUUCUCGCUCGCACUCGCAUGUUUUGGCGGAACUGUGUCCCUUUCUACAGUAUUGUUUGUUUGACAACUUAAAACAUCGUUCAUUCAUUCAUUCAAACAUAAAUGAUGGUUGUUUUGAUUAAUAUUUUGUAUUAAGAAUAGAGUUUUAAUUGUUUUAUUAACUUAAUUUGGUUGUAAAGUUCAUUAUACCACAAGAGUUAGUACUAAUACCUAAAGUUAACGUGGAAAGUGUGACAAAGUGAAAUUUCUCCAAACAGAAGUUUUUAGGUUAUGUUGUGCACUGAAAAAUUUCUGUUGACACAGAUCCAGAGAAGAUUUUUAAACAACGAAAGAGGAAUUCUAAAUUUAACUGGAAAUGUGCCUAAAUAAGGCUUCUAUCUACUAGACGCAUAAAUGGCAAAAUGGCAUCUUCAUCAAAUGAAUGCAAUGAAGCAGAAAUUGACGUUGACAAAUUCAGAGAAGACUUCUGUGAUACUAUUAGCAAACUCCCCGGUUGUAUGCGUCACAGGGAAUAUGAAAAAGUUGUUAGAAAAUUACAGUUGCCCAGCUACAGAGGCGAAGAAAAGGAAAAGUUUGAUGUUACACAUAAAAGAGGAAAACUAUAUUUAAUUGAUAAAUGCAGCCAAUUAAAUGCACCGAAAAGAAAACACCUGUCAGUAGAAGAUAUGUUUCAAAUUAUCUACGAAGCCCAUUUCCAUGUCGAUGUCAACGGACAUCUUGAUCUAAUACAAAUGCGAGAACUGAUUGCGUAUACACAUCCAAAUUUUGUGAUACCAGCUGAAGCUAUAGAUUGGGUUGUAAAUAAUUGUAAAGUUUGUACACCACAAAAUAGUGACUCCAAAGAAAUAGUAUCAAAUAAUUUCAAAACAGGCCAUAAACACGAUUUUGACAGAAACCAAUAUGUCCAUUAUAAAGUUUUAGUAUCCAUUUGUGACAUGUCAAAAGAGAGUGUUAGGGAUAGUCCUUUUAAAUAUGUUUUGAUAUACAAAGAUGCAGGUUACAAUAGGUCACAUACUUUUAUUUUGUUAAGACCGCUAAUUGAUAAUAGCACUUUUGAAGUAGCUUCGGAAUUAGCGAAAAUAUUUUUUACUUUUGGCCCACCGAGAAAAAUUCUUGUUAACAAAGGUGAAGGUGAAUACUUUGACCGUGUAAAAUGUAAUUUGAGCAAAUUAUGUGGAGAAUGUGAUGUGAUUAUAGGAGUAUGUCCUGAGAGGGCGACGGCAAAAACUGAUAAAUAUGUUGUUGAAAAAAUUUUACAAUGGGAGAAGGAGAUGGGAAGUUCCGAAUGGGCUCUUGGUUGUCACAUUGUUCAAUGGAAACUAAACCAGAAACGAAAGGGAUUGGAAUCACCGUAUGAAAAGAUGUUUAGUGUAACAUGCGAGAAAGGUAAACAAAAAAAGUCAACAACAAGUCCAGAAAUAAUUUAUAUUGAAGAGGACAAAAACGACAAUCACUUGGAUUCCCUUUCUGUUGUCGACGCCCCACCUGUUACUGGAGCUAAAAGUAAUUUGGAGAAUGAAGUUGCGGCACAAGAUAAUAUUGCAAGACGCGAUUCCAAUUUGAUAAGUGUAGAUCAAGUUGAAUCGUUAGAAUCUACUGAAGAUGAAGAUGAUCAGAAUCAACAUCAGCAUUCUCAAAAAGUUUUGUCCUCUGAUGGACAUAAGUCUAAAACAGCGAUUACUUCAAAUUCCAUUGAAGAGAAAAUUUCAUCAUGUCAUAUUCAGAAUCAAUAUGCCCCAAACCCUACUACUUCAAAUUCAAUUGAAGAAGCAAUUUCAUCGUUUCAUAUUCCGAAUCAACAUCUUCAAGAGGUUCAAAAAGUUAUGCCCUCCGACGAACAUGACACAAAUACAGCUAAUACU